UCUGGCUGCUGCCCAUCUCUCUCCAACAGCAGUCGCUGCAAGCCCAUGGCUGUGGAAACUGCUCCACACGGCUGGGGCAAGGGAGGCUUGGGCUGUUCUCAUACUGGGCGGAUCGAACACUGUCAGAUCUAGGCUGAGGUCUGCUCCAAGUCCUGCAUGUACCGGGACCGCCUGGGUACAGAGUUACCUUGUGUGGAAGAGAAACGUGGAGCCCCUUUUGGAAGCAGUGAAAGGCGCCUUCUUCACUUCAUGCUCACACCUCUGGUGCUGUCAUUUUCUACUACUCCUGCUUGGACGCUUUCACCUACCCUACUGCACAACUGUUGCGUGCCGCAUGUCCUGCAGUGCAGCUGCCACUCUGAAGUACAAAAUACCACGUACCUUUGUUAAUUAACACUGGGUACCUGGAGGUGUUAGGACAAACAGGCAAAAACAUGGGUCACUGCAUAUACACUGCCUCCUUCGUGAAGAUCCAUAAACAAUGAGGGCUGUCUUAUAUCCUUUUCUACUUUAUUUGUUUUAAGGAAGCAAUAAUAUUCACUGCAGCUAAAAGUUCUGUCUAAACAUUUACUCUCACAGGGAUUCACACUCUUAAAUCUUAGCAUUAGAUACUCUACA
Oxyura jamaicensis (ruddy duck) is the source of this 618-nucleotide long non-coding RNA. RefSeq lists it as uncharacterized. NCBI's taxonomy places the organism in Eukaryota, Metazoa, Chordata, Aves, Anseriformes, Anatidae. The record is from RefSeq and is a predicted model, not a curated record. The transcript has 3 exons.